CGAGGAAAAGAAAUCAACCGAGAUUCCCCCAGUAGCGGCGAGCGAACGGGGAGCAGCCCAGAGUCUGAAUCAGCUUGUGUGUUAGUGGAACGGUCUGGAAAGUCCGACGGUACAGGGUGAUAGUCCCGUACACCAAAAUGCACAGGCUGUGAACUCGAAGAGUAGGGCGGGACACGUGGUAUCCUGUCUGAAUAUGGGGGGACCAUCCUCCAAGGCUAAAUACUCCUGACUGACCGAUAGUGAACCAGUACCGUGAGGGAAAGGCGAAAAGAACCCCGGCGAGGGGAGUGAAAAAGAACCUGAAACCGUGUACGUACAAGCAGUGGGAGCACCUUCGGGUGUGACUGCGUACCUUUUGUAUAAUGGGUCAGCGACUUAUAUUCUGUAGCAAGGUUAACCGUAUAGGGGAGCCGCAGGGAAACCGAGUCUUAACUGGGCGUUAAGUUGCAGGGUAUAGACCCGAAACCCGGUGAUCUAGCCAUGGGCAGGUUGAAGGUUGGGUAACACUAACUGGAGGACCGAACCGACUAAUGUUGAAAAAUUAGCGGAUGACUUGUGGCUGGGGGUGAAAGGCCAAUCAAACCGGGAGAUAGCUGGUUCUCCCCGAAAGCU
This 612-nucleotide ribosomal RNA is filed under the name Klebsiella pneumoniae. RNAcentral describes it as "partial 23S ribosomal RNA". It matches the Rfam family "Bacterial large subunit ribosomal RNA", at positions 212 to 867 of the family's 2925-position model. RNAcentral also lists the same sequence under 1 other name. Lineage: Bacteria; Pseudomonadati; Pseudomonadota; Gammaproteobacteria; Enterobacterales; Enterobacteriaceae. The record is from RNAcentral.